Zingiber officinale is the source of this 2123-nucleotide long non-coding RNA. RefSeq lists it as uncharacterized. Lineage: Eukaryota; Viridiplantae; Streptophyta; Magnoliopsida; Zingiberales; Zingiberaceae. The record is from RefSeq and is a predicted model, not a curated record. The transcript is spliced from 2 exons.
UCCUCUUCCGUUUCCUCUUCAUUCUCCCCGACCCAAGCACCCGCGCCAUCUCCUUGCUCGCCUUCUCCUCUUCCCUGAGCCCGAUCGCCUUCCCCUCUCGCGACGUCUCUUCUCCCACGCCUACAAAAUUGCCAGCCAAGGAGAAGCCUCGAGCCUCUCUCUUCUCCCCUCGUCAUCUUUCCCUCCCCUGCCGUCGCCUCCUCGUCGCGGAGAUCCCGAUCGCGCUGAUCACCACGAGAUCACCGCACGACAGCGGUCUUCCCCUUCCGCGUGGCUCACCAAUGCCAAGCUCUCUUGGCUACUAGGCGGCCCGAUUUUCUUCUUCCUUCCCCUCUCGCACCUGUGCCCUAGACACUGCCGGUGUUAUCACAGUUGGCACCAUCGCAUCCGACCACCGGACCGGGCUACUCCAGCAACGCUGUGCCCUAGCCCCCAACCACCGCCGGCCAUUUCUGGUCUUUCUGAUCAUAGGUGCCACCUCUGCAUGAGGCGAUCUUUGGCCAAAGGAGGAGGGUUCGAGCCCUAGUUUGGUCUCCCUCCUCCCAUACGCUGGUGUUGAGGUAUUAUUGUCGAUCUCCUCCCAUGCCUUAGAUUCCACUUCGAGCCAGUGUUUCGCAGGUAUGAACAGGGAUACGUGGUGCCCUAGAUGCCAUAGUUUUCUUCAUCCUUUUCGUUGGGGAUAAAUAGAAUCCUUUACCUUCUUUUCGUGUGUUAUUAUCUUUCAUCUGUACAUAUCUGAGGUGGUUUGGUUGGAGGAUAGAAAUACAAGUUUGCUCUGUCCACCAAUUUCCAGUGGCAAGCAUUCAUGGUAGUAAACUGUCAAGGAAGCAAUUAGUAUUGAGGUAUGUAUGUUUAGGUAUAAAUUUUAUAUGGGUUUCAUUAAGUAAAAUAGGUUGAGUAACCUUUAUGAAGAAGAUAGAAUGAUUAGGGUUAAUGGAGCUAACCCUAGUUGAUCGAUGGAUUAGAUUUAGUUGGGGAUUUGAUUUAGCUAAUUAAUUUAUAUGUAAUUAGCUAAAUUUGUAUAUUAUGAUUUGCAAGACUUUGAUUCGAGACGAGCGUCUCGACAUGGGAUCCAUCUGAUACGAUAUCCAUUUUUUAGGCAAGUACUCUAACUUAUCUUUUGAUAUUGUCAUCUGAUAUGCUUAGUAGGUUGUAACUUGCAGUAAUAGUUAUGUUUGUUUCUGUUUGGUAUGUCACUACUUGAUACCUGUAGCAUGCCUUAUUUGUUGUUUACUAUACAUCCAUGCUUAUACCUUCUUGAUUAUUGCUAUGUGUAUUAUGUUCAUAGAGGUAGUGAUGUACCAUGCCUUAUUGUGUUUAGGACUAGUUAUUUUCCAUACCUGCUAGAUGUACCUAGAUCAUUUUAUUGGAUCCAUUUACUAUUUGGUACAUACUUUUUGGAUAUGGACAUAGUCAGGAUUUUCAUACUUAGUGUCAUGCACCAUCUUGCAUGAUUGUAUGCUGAGCGAUUGUCGACUCCAUUAUUGUUGAGCACAUCACUUCAGUUACAUGGAUCUGCACACACAACCACUCAUGGGUUAGUGGUAUAUCAGGCAGGGUGUGUGGCAGUUUUGCUCUGUCAGGCUUCGCUGGUCCGCUCAUGGGUAGUGUUGACUACAGCGUGGUAGCGGGCAGGGACCCUUCCUCUGGACUGACUCAAGGAGAUGAGAGCAUUGCGCUCCCCCACUUAUGAUUUGGGAUAGGAUGAUAGGUGUACUCCGACAGCAUCCUGUCCACUCGAUCACUCAGGAGUAGUGAUGGCAGAGUGCACAGUUAUCAUAGCCCUACCCACUAGGUCUCACCAUCUGUGCGAAAUGGCUGACUGGCGUCAGUGGUGACCAUGUCAUUUGCAUCAUAUGCAUCGAUUGCAUUAUUGCUUGUGAUUGUUGUAUUUUGGAUGCUGUAUUUUUUUAGGUUGCAUAUGAUUGACAUGCAUACAGGAGACAUGAGGUAUCUGGUCUGGCAACCCUUAUAUCAGGAUAGGAGGCCUUGGUUGAAGCUGUCAGGAUAUUCCAAUCGCUAGUCCCCACUAGGUGUCGAGGUGGUUUUAUAUUAUCGGACUUAUGUUUCCUUGUUAGUGAACUACAUAUUGGUGAUAUAUGCGUUUUGCACUUUGGAUUUUA